RNAcentral lists this ribosomal RNA (497 nucleotides) under uncultured bacterium. Its description in RNAcentral is "partial 16S ribosomal RNA". It matches the Rfam family "Bacterial small subunit ribosomal RNA", at positions 28 to 507 of the family's 1533-position model. The record is from RNAcentral.
GAUGAACGCUGGCGGCGUGCCUAAUACAUGCAAGUCGAGCGAACAGACGAGGAGCUUGCUCCUCUGACGUUAGCGGCGGACGGGUGAGUAACACGUGGAUAACCUACCUAUGAGACUGGGAUAACUUCGGGAAACCGGAGCUAAUACCGGAUAAUAUAUUGAACCGCAUGGUUCAAUAGUGAAAGACGGUUUUGCUGUCACUUAUAGAUGGAUCCGCGCCGCAUUAGCUAGUUGGUAAGGUAACGGCUUACCAAGGCAACGAUGCGUAGCCGACCUGAGAGGGUGAUCGGCCACACUGGAACUGAGACACGGUCCAGACUCCUACGGGAGGCAGCAGUAGGGAAUCUUCCGCAAUGGGCGAAAGCCGGACGGAGCAACGCCGCGUGAGUGAUGAAGGUCUUCGGAUCGUAAAACUCUGUUAGUAGGGAAGAACAAAUGUGUAAGUAACUAUGCACGUCUUGACGGUACCUAAUCAGAAAGCCACGGCUAACUACGUG